This 263-nucleotide ribosomal RNA is filed under the name uncultured bacterium. RNAcentral describes it as "partial 16S ribosomal RNA". It matches the Rfam family "Bacterial small subunit ribosomal RNA", at positions 524 to 788 of the family's 1533-position model. The record is from RNAcentral.
UACGUAGGCGGCGAACGUUACUCGGAAUCACUGGGCUUAAAGGGCGUGUAGGUGGCUUAUCAAGUGAGAGUUGAAAUCCGGCGGCUCAACCGUCGAACUGGCCCUCAUACUGAUGAGCUCGAGUCGUACAGGGGAUGCUGGAACUUGCAGUGGAGCGGUGGAAUGCGCAGAUAUUGCAAGGAACACCAAUGGCGAAGGCAGGCAUCUGGGUAAUGACUGACACUGAGGCGCGAAAGCCGGGGGAGCAAACAGGAUUAGAACCU